UCUGGCUGCAAAUGUGUCAACCCAUUGAUCGCCAGGGUUGAUUCGGCUGAUCUGGCUGGCUAGGCGGAUGUCCCCUUCCUCCCUCACCACUCCAUGUGCGCCCCUCCUGAAGCUGCGCGCUCUGUCGAAGAGGACGACCAUCCCCGAUAGAGGAGGACUGGUCUUCGGUCAAGGGUAUACGAGUAGCUGCGCUCCCCUGCUAGAACCUCCAAACAAGCUCACCUGCUAG
Molecule: long non-coding RNA, 229 nt
Organism: Sapajus apella (tufted capuchin)
Lineage: Eukaryota; Metazoa; Chordata; Mammalia; Primates; Cebidae
Exons: 3
Source: RefSeq, a predicted model, not a curated record